AUGCAUCAUCAUUCAUUUGCUCACUACAAAAGCAAUAACUUACCUAGCAAUCAAUAUCACAUCAUGCAUCACUCUCUUGAGCAAUUGCAAAACAAAACGGAAAACAUGGAAAACUUUUACCUUGCGAGCAUAUCCUCGAGCAUGUCGGCCUCGCUCCUAGUUCCGUCUGAAUUCGUGCCUUCGUCGGCCGCCGGAGGUGGAGGGGGUGGCAGCGUGGCUGCAGGAGGCCAAGGGCAAUGGCAGCCUUCUUCGUCCUGGCCGUCAGGUUGUUCGCCUUCGUCGAUGGUCGACAGUCCCAUUUGCCGGUCGGCACCGACAAGGGUGGUAGGGUAG
Molecule: ribosomal RNA, 333 nt
Filed under: Triticum aestivum (bread wheat)
Lineage: Eukaryota; Viridiplantae; Streptophyta; Magnoliopsida; Poales; Poaceae
Description: partial small subunit ribosomal RNA
Source: RNAcentral